This 1351-nucleotide ribosomal RNA is filed under the name uncultured fungus. RNAcentral's name for it is "eukaryotic LSU rRNA". The stretch from base 669 to 1351 matches the Rfam family "Eukaryotic large subunit ribosomal RNA", at positions 1 to 667 of the family's 3401-position model. The record is from RNAcentral. Lineage: Eukaryota; Fungi.
CUUGGUCAUUUAGAGGAAGUAAAAGUCGUAACAAGGUUUCCGUAGGUGAACCUGCGGAAGGAUCAUUACCGAGUGUAAUUGAGCGGGUUGUGCUGGCCCCUGUGGGCAAGUGCACACCCCUCAACCUUCUCUCCCACACACACCUGUGCGCUCUUGCGGUGUGGACGGUCCCCGAGUGCUCCCUGCAAAGGAGGUUUGGUUGUCGUCCGUACUGUUUUUUAAACAUCUUCACGUUGUCUUGUAUGUAUUGUCGGUAUGUCGGAACGAAAUAACAACUUUCAACAACGGAUCUCUUGGCUCUCGCAUCGAUGAAGAACGCAGCGAAAUGCGAUAAGUAAUGUGAAUUGCAGAAUUCAGUGAAUCAUCGAAUCUUUGAACGCACCUUGCGCCCAUUGGUAUUCUGAUGGGCAUGCCUGUUUGAGUGUCACGGUACUCUCGAACGCUACACCUUUGUUUGGGUGUCUGUGUUCGGUCUUGGACGGUUUUGCGGGCCCUUGCGGUCCGCUCCGGUCCGAAACUCAUUAGCUGAAGACUCUGGUUUGACCUUCUGAGGUUGGUUUGAGUGGCAAUUAAGUUGUCCACCGCCUCUCUUAGGUCUCCGAGCCUCCGCUCCUAGUCGUUGUCUGUCUUCUUCGGACGACCGUUCGAAUUUCGAACGCUUUGCGACUUGACCUCAAAUCAGGUAGGACUACCCGCUGAACUUAAGCAUAUCAAUAAGCGGAGGAAAAGAAACUAACAAGGAUUCCCCUAGUAACGGCGAGUGAAGCGGGAAGAGCUCAAAUUUGUAAUCUGGCGGUCUCAGCCGUCCGAGUUGUAGUCUAGAGAAGCGUUUUCUGCGUCGGACCGUGUACAAGUCUCUUGGAACAGAGCGUCACAGAGGGUGAGAAUCCCGUCUACGACACGGACUCCCGGUGCUCCACGAUGCGCUCUCCACGAGUCGAGUUGUUUGGGAAUGCAGCUCAAAACGGGUGGUAAAUUCCAUCUAAAGCUAAUAUUGGCGAGAGACCGAUAGCGAACAAGUACCGUGAGGGAAAGAUGAAAAGCACUUUGGAAAGAGAGUUAAACAGUACGUGAAAUUGUUGAAAGGGAAACGCUUGAAGUCAGUCGCGUCUGCUGGGACUCAGCCUGCUUUAUAGCAGGUGCACUUCCUAGCAUACGGGUCAGCAUCGGUUUUGUCCCUCGGAGAAGGGCGGGUUGAAUGUGGCACCUCCGGGUGUGUUUAUAGCUUCCCGUCGGAUGCGAGGGAUGGGACCGAGGAACUCAGCACGCCUCUACGGUCGGGGUUCGCCCACGCAACGUGCUUAGGAUGCUGGCGUAAUGGCUUUAAACGACCCGUCUUGAAACACGGACC